UACGGAGGGUGCAAGCGUUGUUCGGAAUUACUGGGCGUAAAGAGCACGUAGGCGGGCGUGUAAGUCAGAUGUGAAAUCCCCGGGCUUAACCUGGGAAUUGCAUUUGAAACUGCAUGUCUUGAAUGCCUGAGAGGAUGACGGAAUUCCUGGUGUAGAAGUGAAAUUCGUAGAUAUCAGGAGGAACACCGGAGGCGAAGGCGGUUGUCUGGCGGUGCAUUGACGCUGAGGUGCGAAAGCGUGGGGAGCAAACAGG
Molecule: ribosomal RNA, 253 nt
Filed under: uncultured bacterium
Lineage: Bacteria
Description: partial 16S ribosomal RNA
Rfam family: Bacterial small subunit ribosomal RNA
Source: RNAcentral